Molecule: ribosomal RNA, 522 nt
Filed under: Staphylococcus sp.
Lineage: Bacteria; Bacillati; Bacillota; Bacilli; Caryophanales; Staphylococcaceae
Description: bacterial SSU rRNA
Rfam family: Bacterial small subunit ribosomal RNA
Source: RNAcentral
GCUGUCACUUAUAGAUGGAUCCGCGCCGUAUUAGCUAGUUGGUAAGGUAACGGCUUACCAAGGCAACGAUACGUAGCCGACCUGAGAGGGUGAUCGGCCACACUGGAACUGAGACACGGUCCAGACUCCUACGGGAGGCAGCAGUAGGGAAUCUUCCGCAAUGGGCGAAAGCCUGACGGAGCAACGCCGCGUGAGUGAUGAAGGUCUUCGGAUCGUAAAACUCUGUUAUCAGGGAAGAACAAAUGUGUAAGUAACUGUGCACAUCUUGACGGUACCUGAUCAGAAAGCCACGGCUAACUACGUGCCAGCAGCCGCGGUAAUACGUAGGUGGCAAGCGUUAUCCGGAAUUAUUGGGCGUAAAGCGCGCGUAGGCGGUUUUUUAAGUCUGAUGUGAAAGCCCACGGCUCAACCGUGGAGGGUCAUUGGAAACUGGAAAACUUGAGUGCAGAAGAGGAAAGUGGAAUUCCAUGUGUAGCGGUGAAAUGCGCAGAGAUAUGGAGGAACACCAGUGGCGAAGGCGAC